GAAACAUCCUGAUGAAGAAACAAGUGAAGCUGAAAGUCAGAGUCUGUCAGGUGGAGGUGGAGGAGGGGGCGGAGUCUGUCCAGCUGCCCUUCAGAACCACACAAAACCUGCCU
Molecule: long non-coding RNA, 113 nt
Organism: Oreochromis niloticus (Nile tilapia)
Lineage: Eukaryota; Metazoa; Chordata; Actinopteri; Cichliformes; Cichlidae
Exons: 3
Source: RefSeq, a predicted model, not a curated record